UACGUAGGGGGCUAGCGUUGUCCGGAUUUAUUGGGCGUAAAGAGCGUGUAGGCGGCCAGGUAGGUCUGGUGUGAAAACUCGGAGGCUUAACCUCGAGAUGUCAUCGGAAACCAUCUGGCUAGAGUCCGGAAGAGGAGAGUGGGAAUUCCUGGUGUAGCGGUGAAAUGCGCAGAUAUCAGGAAGAACACCAAUGGCGAAAGCAGCUCUCUGGGACGGUACUGACGCUGAGACGCGAAAGCGUGGGGAGCGAACAGG
This 255-nucleotide ribosomal RNA is filed under the name uncultured bacterium. Its description in RNAcentral is "partial 16S ribosomal RNA". It matches the Rfam family "Bacterial small subunit ribosomal RNA", at positions 524 to 776 of the family's 1533-position model. The record is from RNAcentral.